RNAcentral lists this long non-coding RNA (793 nucleotides) under Marmota monax (woodchuck). The record is from RNAcentral. Lineage: Eukaryota; Metazoa; Chordata; Mammalia; Rodentia; Sciuridae.
CUGUAGCUCCGGGCCCUCCUGCUAUGCGAAAAGAGAGUGAGGGGCUGACUGGACAGGGGUGCUCGGAGGGCCAGCGUGGCCCCCCACCCUGCUCACUGAGCUGAAGCCGCCAUGGCCCAGGUGACAUUGGCAGCUGUGGGGCUCCUUGGACCCGUGGGAUGGAAGCCUGGCCCGAGUCCCCCAUGACACCUGGCAAACCUGUGGCUAAGAACUCACAGUUACUGAGCUCUGGCUGCUGUGGCAUGAGGGUUGAGCCGUUGACCUGAUUGUUUCCUACAUAUUUCCCAUGCUGCAUUCAGAGCAGGGUCCAGGCCUGUCCUCAGUCUUUCCUCCCCCAGGGGCUCCGCACACAGGCCGGACGCAGAGUGUGCCCACUGAUAACAGCCCCGAGGGACUUUGUGCGCAUUUAAACCCAUCAAGGUGAAUGCAGGGGUGCCCAGGUGGUCUGCCUGCCAGGGCAGGAGUCUUUAGCUGUGAUGUUGCACUGCCCCUUGGAGAUCUUGUCCUGGUGAUUGGGAACCCAGGAUGCUCCACCCCACCCUGGGCCAAGGCCCGUGACAGAUUGGCACAGAGUCAGAGGACGCAGCCUUCCUGCCUGCAGUUGGCGCAGCUGUGCAGGACAUUUCUGCUUGGGGGUCCCAGAGAUUGGGGUGGGGUGCAGCGGGCCCAGCUUCCCUUGCCGUCUGCUUCCUCUCCUUUCCUGAGACUGCCCUGUGGGCCCCUCGACACAGCUUCCGGUCCCAGGCUGCACUCUGGAGAGCCAGACUGAGGACGCUCGGAAAGACAGAGGACC